AAGGAGCUUGCUCCUUUGAAGUUAGCGGCGGACGGGUGAGUAACACGUGGGUAACCUACCUAUAAGACUGGGAUAACUUCGGGAAACCGGAGCUAAUACCGGAUAACAUUUAGAACCGCAUGGUUCUAAAGUGAAAGAUGGUUUUGCUAUCACUUAUAGAUGGACCCGCGCCGUAUUAGCUAGUUGGUAAGGUAACGGCUUACCAAGGCGACGAUACGUAGCCGACCUGAGAGGGUGAUCGGCCACACUGGAACUGAGACACGGUCCAGACUCCUACGGGAGGCAGCAGUAGGGAAUCUUCCGCAAUGGGCGAAAGCCUGACGGA
This 325-nucleotide ribosomal RNA is filed under the name Staphylococcus xylosus. RNAcentral describes it as "bacterial SSU rRNA". It matches the Rfam family "Bacterial small subunit ribosomal RNA", at positions 73 to 390 of the family's 1533-position model. The record is from RNAcentral. Lineage: Bacteria; Bacillati; Bacillota; Bacilli; Caryophanales; Staphylococcaceae.